RNAcentral lists this ribosomal RNA (2908 nucleotides) under Campylobacter coli. RNAcentral describes it as "23S ribosomal RNA". It matches the Rfam family "Bacterial large subunit ribosomal RNA". Lineage: Bacteria; Pseudomonadati; Campylobacterota; Epsilonproteobacteria; Campylobacterales; Campylobacteraceae. The record is from RNAcentral.
AGGUAAGCUACUAAGAGCGAAUGGUGGAUGCCUUGACUGGUAAAGGCGAUGAAGGACGUACUAGACUGCGAUAAGCUACGGGGAGCUGUCAAGAAGCUUUGAUCCGUAGAUUUCCGAAUGGGGCAACCCAAUGUAUAGAGAUAUACAUUACCUAUAUAGGAGCGAACGAGGGGAAUUGAAACAUCUUAGUACCCUCAGGAAAAGAAAUCAAUAGAGAUUGCGUCAGUAGCGGCGAGCGAAAGCGUAAGAGGGCAAACCCAGUGCUUGCACUGGGGGUUGUAGGACUGCAAUGUGCAAGAGGUGAGUUUAGCAGAACAUUCUGGAAAGUAUAGCCAUAGAGGGUGAUAGUCCCGUAUGCGAAAAACAAACCUUAGCUAGCAGUAUCCUGAGUAGGGCGGGACACGAGAAAUCCUGUCUGAAGCUGGGUCGACCACGAUCCAACCCUAAAUACUAAUACCAGAUCGAUAGUGCACAAGUACCGUGAGGGAAAGGUGAAAAGAACUGAGGUGAUCAGAGUGAAAUAGAACCUGAAACCAUUUGCUUACAAUCAUUCAGAGCACUAUGUAGCAAUACAGUGUGAUGGACUGCCUUUUGCAUAAUGAGCCUGCGAGUUGUGGUGUCUGGCAAGGUUAAGCAAACGCGAAGCCGUAGCGAAAGCGAGUCUGAAUAGGGCGCUUAGUCAGAUGCUGCAGACCCGAAACGAAGUGAUCUAUCCAUGAGCAAGUUGAAGCUAGUGUAAGAACUAGUGGAGGACUGAACCCAUAGGCGUUGAAAAGCCCCGGGAUGACUUGUGGAUAGGGGUGAAAGGCCAAUCAAACUUCGUGAUAGCUGGUUCUCUCCGAAAUAUAUUUAGGUAUAGCGUUGUGUCGUAAUAUAAGGGGGUAGAGCACUGAAUGGGCUAGGGCAUACACCAAUGUACCAAACCCUAUCAAACUCCGAAUACCUUAUAUGUAAUCACAGCAGUCAGGCGGCGAGUGAUAAAAUCCGUCGUCAAGAGGGAAACAACCCAGACUACCAGCUAAGGUCCCUAAAUCUUACUUAAGUGGAAAACGAUGUGAAGUUACUUAAACAACCAGGAGGUUGGCUUAGAAGCAGCCAUCCUUUAAAGAAAGCGUAAUAGCUCACUGGUCUAGUGAUUUUGCGCGGAAAAUAUAACGGGGCUAAAGUAAGUACCGAAGCUGUAGACUUGAUUUUAUCAAGUGGUAGGAGAGCGUUCUAUUUGCGCCGAAGGUAUACCGGUAAGGAGUGCUGGAGCGAAUAGAAGUGAGCAUGCAGGCAUGAGUAGCGAUAAUUAAUGUGAGAAUCAUUAACGCCGUAAACCCAAGGUUUCCUACGCGAUGCUCGUCAUCGUAGGGUUAGUCGGGUCCUAAGUCGAGUCCGAAAGGGGUAGACGAUGGCAAAUUGGUUAAUAUUCCAAUACCAACAUUAGUGUGCGAUGGAAGGACGCUUAGGGCUAAGGGGGCUAGCGGAUGGAAGUGCUAGUCUAAGGUCGUAGGAGGUUAUACAGGCAAAUCCGUAUAACAAUACUCCGAGAACUGAAAGGCUUUUUGAAGUCUUCGGAUGGAUAGAAGAACCCCUGAUGCCGUCGAGCCAAGAAAAGUUUCUAAGUUUAGCUAAUGUUGCCCGUACCGUAAACCGACACAGGUGGGUGGGAUGAGUAUUCUAAGGCGCGUGGAAGAACUCUCUUUAAGGAACUCUGCAAAAUAGCACCGUAUCUUCGGUAUAAGGUGUGGUUCGCUUCGUAUUAGGAUUUACUCCGAAAGCGAAGAAACUUACAACAAAGAGUCCCUCCCGACUGUUUACCAAAAACACAGCACUCUGCUAACUCGUAAGAGGAUGUAUAGGGUGUGACGCCUGCCCGGUGCUCGAAGGUUAAUUGAUGGGGUUAGCAUUAGCGAAGCUCUUGAUCGAAGCCCGAGUAAACGGCGGCCGUAACUAUAACGGUCCUAAGGUAGCGAAAUUCCUUGUCGGUUAAAUACCGACCUGCAUGAAUGGCGUAACGAGAUGGGAGCUGUCUCAAAGAGGGAUCCAGUGAAAUUGUAGUGGAGGUGAAAAUUCCUCCUACCCGCGGCAAGACGGAGAGACCCCGUGGACCUUUACUACAGCUUGACACUGCUAUUUGGAUAAGAAUGUGCAGGAUAGGUGGGAGGCUUUGAGUAUAUGACGCCAGUUGUAUAUGAGCCAUUGUUGAGAUACCACUCUUUCUUAUUUGGGUAGCUAACCAGCUUGAGUUAUCCUCAAGUGGGACAAUGUCUGGUGGGUAGUUUGACUGGGGCGGUCGCCUCCCAAAUAAUAACGGAGGCUUACAAAGGUUGGCUCAGAACGGUUGGAAAUCGUUCGUAGAGUAUAAAGGUAUAAGCCAGCUUAACUGCAAGACAUACAAGUCAAGCAGAGACGAAAGUCGGUCUUAGUGAUCCGGUGGUUCUGUGUGGAAGGGCCAUCGCUCAAAGGAUAAAAGGUACCCCGGGGAUAACAGGCUGAUCUCCCCCAAGAGCUCACAUCGACGGGGAGGUUUGGCACCUCGAUGUCGGCUCAUCGCAUCCUGGGGCUGGAGCAGGUCCCAAGGGUAUGGCUGUUCGCCAUUUAAAGCGGUACGCGAGCUGGGUUCAGAACGUCGUGAGACAGUUCGGUCCCUAUCUGCCGUGGGCGUAAGAAGAUUGAAGAGAUUUGACCCUAGUACGAGAGGACCGGGUUGAACAAACCACUGGUGUAGCUGUUGUUCUGCCAAGAGCAUCGCAGCGUAGCUAAGUUUGGAAAGGAUAAACGCUGAAAGCAUCUAAGCGUGAAGCCAACUCUAAGAUGAAUCUUCUCUAAGCUCUCUAGAAGACUACUAGUUUGAUAGGCUGGGUGUGUAAUGGAUGAAAGUCCUUUAGCUGACCAGUACUAAUAGAGCGUUUGGCUUAUCUUU